This 801-nucleotide ribosomal RNA is filed under the name Burkholderiaceae bacterium. Its description in RNAcentral is "partial 23S ribosomal RNA". It matches the Rfam family "Bacterial large subunit ribosomal RNA", at positions 1 to 842 of the family's 2925-position model. Lineage: Bacteria; Pseudomonadati; Pseudomonadota; Betaproteobacteria; Burkholderiales; Burkholderiaceae. The record is from RNAcentral.
GUUAUAGGGUCAAGUGACUAAGUGCAUGUGGUGGAUGCCUUGGCGAUCACAGGCGAUGAAGGACGUAGUAGCCUGCGAUAAGCGACGGGGAGCUGGCAAACGAGCUUUGAUCCGUCGAUUUCCGAAUGGGGAAACCCACCUCGUAAGAGGUAUCCCACGCUGAAUUCAUAGGCGUGUGGAGGCGAACGCGGUGAACUGAAACAUCUAAGUAGCCGCAGGAAAAUAAAUCAACCGAGAUUCCGAAAGUAGUGGCGAGCGAAAUCGGAUCAGCCGGUGCGUGAUAGUCGAGAGGUUAGUGGAACGGUCUGGAAAGUCCGGCCAUAGCGGGUGAUAGCCCCGUACGCAAAAACCUUUCGGUGGUACUAAGCGCACGACAAGUAGGGCGGGACACGUGAAAUCCUGUCUGAAGAUGGGGGGACCAUCCUCCAAGGCUAAAUACUCGUGAUCGACCGAUAGUGAACAAGUACCGUGAGGGAAAGGCGAAAAGAACCCCGGGAGGGGAGUGAAAUAGAUCCUGAAACCGCAUGCAUACAAACAGUCGGAGCCCGAAAGGGUGACGGCGUACCUUUUGUAUAAUGGGUCAGCGACUUACGUUUGGUGGCGAGCUUAACCGUAUAGGGGAGGCGUAGGGAAACCGAGUCCGAACAGGGCGAAUCAGUCGUCAGGCGUAGACCCGAAACCGGAUGAUCUACUCAUGGCCAGGAUGAAGGUAGGGUAACACCUGCUGGAGGUCCGAACCGACUACUGUUGCAAAAGUAGCGGAUGAGCUGUGGGUAGGGGUGAAAGGCUAAACAAAUCCGG